CCAAUUCAGCAAUUUUGGCAUUUAGCCUUGCUAUUUCAGCAUCCUUUGUUCCAACCUCUUGAACCAAGGCUCUGACCUUGCUGUUUAUAGGAUUUUUAGCAGAUGAACCAGGUUCAAUAGGGCCAGUACUGAGCAGAUAAUCACAGGCUUGGAGGGUUUUGAUCCCAAAGUGCUCAUUGCUGGAAGUCAUUUCUCACUUUUUCAAGGGAACAUCAAAUCGUUCAAGCACAGUUGUUAAGAUAAAACCAUAGGCAAUGGCAUGAGCCCUUGAUCCAUUGAUCACCCUCUCUAGCAAUUUCACAAUGAAGGCAUGCUAAUUGAUCUGCUUGCCUUCAUUCACACAUUGCAUGAGCACCAGAUCCAUAUAUUUUGUUGUCUGCCUUAUCUCGUGUCUGGGCAGAAGACAUUUGUUGACAAACUCAAAAAGCACUUUGUGCUCUGGCCUCAUUUCACUCUUAUAAACUGCCCUGGCCUAAGGCACCUCCUCAUCUAUUUGAGUGUCAUAGAAAUUUCCUAGUAAAUUGCAGAUCAGAGGGCAACCCAUCCAGACAAGGCCACCUUUGUCAUGUGUAGUCAUCAUACCCGUCACAAGGGAUGUCCAAAAUUUUGCCCAGUUUGGUAGCAUUGAACUUCACUUUCAC
This 641-nucleotide long non-coding RNA is filed under the name Nicotiana benthamiana. RNAcentral's name for it is "long non-coding RNA (NBEN_LNC003462)". Lineage: Eukaryota; Viridiplantae; Streptophyta; Magnoliopsida; Solanales; Solanaceae. The record is from RNAcentral.